This 776-nucleotide ribosomal RNA is filed under the name uncultured bacterium. Its description in RNAcentral is "bacterial SSU rRNA". It matches the Rfam family "Bacterial small subunit ribosomal RNA", at positions 8 to 796 of the family's 1533-position model. The record is from RNAcentral.
AGAGUUUGAUCCUGGCUCAGAAUGAACGUUGGCGGCGUGGAUUAGGCAUGCAAGUCGUACGGGUCACGGGUAGCAAUACCUGUGACCAGUGGCGUAAGGGAGAGUAAUACAUAGGUAUUUACCCUGGGGUCUGGGAUAGCGGCGGGAAACUGCCGGUAAUACCAGAUGAUAUCUCCGGAUCAAAGGUGUGAUUCCGCCCUAGGAGAAGCCUGUGGCCUAUUAGCUAGUUGGCAGGGUAACGGCCUACCAAGGCAAAGAUGGGUAUGGGGCGUGAGAGCGUGCCCCCACUCACUGGGACUGAGACACUGCCCAGACACCUACGGGUGGCUGCAGUCGAGAAUCUUCGGCAAUGGGCGCAAGCCUGACCGAGCGACGCCGCGUGGAGGAUGAAGGCCUUCGGGUUGUAAACUCCUGUCGUAGGGGAGGAAAUGCUAGUGGGUUCACCCAUUAGUUUGACCGAUCCUAGGAGGAAGGGCCGGCUAAUCUCGUGCCAGCAGCCGCGGUAAUACGAGAGGCCCAAACGUUAUUCGGAUUUACUGGGCUUAAAGAGUUCGUAGGCGGUUCGGUAAGUGAGGUGUGAAAUCCCUUGGCUCAACCAAGGAAUUGCGCUUCAAACUGCCGGGCUUGAGGGAGAUAGAGGUGAGCGGAACUGAUGGUGGAGCGGUGAAAUGCGUUGAUAUCAUCAGGAACACCAGAGGCGAAGGCGGCUCACUGCUCUUCUGACGCUGAGGAACGAAAGCUAGGGGAGCAAACGGGAUUAGAUACCCUAGUAGUCC